Molecule: long non-coding RNA, 247 nt
Filed under: Elaeis guineensis (African oil palm)
Lineage: Eukaryota; Viridiplantae; Streptophyta; Magnoliopsida; Arecales; Arecaceae
Description: long non-coding RNA (EGUI_LNC039489)
Source: RNAcentral
GGAGAGCAAAUGUGAGGGUGAGCUGGAGAGUUUCUAGUGGAAGGAUAGGGAUUUUUUGGAGAAGUGAUACCCCGAUUUGGAAGAGAAGGGUAGAAUCUAGGGCACGCUCAAUCCGCUCCAAACAAGGGAGGAGAAGGGGAAGAACUUGAUUCCUAAGGGUCGAUUUGAGGUGUAAGGGGUGAUGGGAGAAGAGUCUUAGGGGAAGGACUUGGGUUUGGAGAAGAAGAAAAGGGGACCUAUGGCUUGG